CGGUCCUAAGGUAGCGAAAUUCCUUGUCGGGUAAGUUCCGACCUGCACGAAUGGCGUAAUGAUGGCCAGGCUGUCUCCACCCGAGACUCAGUGAAAUUGAACUCGCUGUGAAGAUGCAGUGUACCCGCGGCAAGACGGAAAGACCCCGUGAACCUUUACUAUAGCUUGACACUGAACAUUGAGCCUUGAUGUGUAGGAUAGGUGGGAGGCUUUGAAGUGUGGACGCCAGUCUGCAUGGAGCCGACCUUGAAAUACCACCCUUUAAUGUUUGAUGUUCUAACGUGGGCCCCUUACCGGGGUUGCGGACAGUGUCUGGUGGGUAGUUUGACUGGGGCGGUCGCCUCCUAAAGAGUAACGGAGGAGCACGAAGGUUGGCUAAUCCUGGUCGGACAUCAGGAGGUUAGUGCAAUGGCAUAAGCCAGCUUGACUGCGAGCGUGACGGCGCGAGCAGGUGCGAAAGCAGGUCAUAGUGAUCCGGUGGUUCUGAAUGGAAGGGCCAUCGCUCAACGGAUAAAAGGUACUCCGGGGAUAACAGGCUGAUACCGCCCAAGAGUUCAUAUCGACGGCGGUGUUUGGCACCUCGAUGUCGGCUCAUCACAUCCUGGGGCUGAAGUAGGUCCCAAGGGUAUGGCUGUUCGCCAUUUAAAGUGGUACGCGAGCUGGGUUUAGAACGUCGUGAGACAGUUCGGUCCCUAUCUGCCGUGGGCGCUGGAGAACUGAGGGGGGCUGCUCCUAGUACGAGAGGACCGGAGUGGACGCAUCACUGGUGUUCGGGUUGUCAUGCCAAUGGCACUGCCCGGUAGCUAAAUGCGGAAGAGAUAAGUGCUGAAAGCAUCUAAGCACGAAACUUGCCCCGAGAUGAGUUCUCCCUGACUCCUUGAGAGUCCUGAAGGAACGUUGAAGACGACGACGUUGAUAGGCCGGGUGUGUAAGCGCAGCGAUGCGUUGAGCUAACCGGUACUAAUGAACCGUGAGGCUUAACCUU
Molecule: ribosomal RNA, 985 nt
Filed under: human metagenome
Description: bacterial LSU rRNA
Rfam family: Bacterial large subunit ribosomal RNA
Source: RNAcentral